RNAcentral lists this ribosomal RNA (670 nucleotides) under uncultured bacterium. RNAcentral describes it as "bacterial SSU rRNA". It matches the Rfam family "Bacterial small subunit ribosomal RNA", at positions 1 to 676 of the family's 1533-position model. The record is from RNAcentral.
UGAGUUUGAUCCUGGCUCAGGAUGAACGCUGGCGGCGUGCCUAACACAUGCAAGUCGAACGAACCUUGGGGAACAGAUUACUUCGGUUUGAAGUUCCCCGCUGGUUAGUGGCGGACGGGUGAGUAACGCGUGGGUAACCUGCCGUAUGCAGGGGGAUAACAGUUAGAAAUGACUGCUAAUACCGCAUAAGCGCACAGUAUCGCAUGAUACAGUGUGAAAAACGAUAGUGGCAUACGAUGGACCCGCGUCUGAUUAGCUAGUUGGCGGGGUAACGGCCCACCAAGGCGACGAUCAGUAGCCGGCCUGAGAGGGUGAACGGCCACAUUGGAACUGAGACACGGUCCAAACUCCUACGGGAGGCAGCAGUGGGGGAUAUUGCACAAUGGGGGAAACCCUGAUGCAGCGACGCCGCGUGAGUGAAGAAGUAUUUCGGUAUGUAAAGCUCUAUCAGCAGGAAAGAUAAUGACGGUACCUGACUAAGAAGCACCGGCUAAAUACGUGCCAGCAGCCGCGGUAAUACGUAUGGUGCAAGCGUUAUCCGGAUUUACUGGGUGUAAAGGGAGCGCAGACGGCAUGGCAAGCCAGAUGUGAAAGGUGGGGGCUCAACCCCCAAGCUGCAUUUGGAACUGUCAAGCUAGAGUAUCGGAGAGGUAAGUGGAAUUCCUAGUGU